This 253-nucleotide ribosomal RNA is filed under the name uncultured bacterium. RNAcentral's name for it is "partial 16S ribosomal RNA". It matches the Rfam family "Bacterial small subunit ribosomal RNA", at positions 524 to 776 of the family's 1533-position model. The record is from RNAcentral.
UACGUAGGGUGCAAGCGUUGUCCGGAAUUAUUGGGCGUAAAGAGCUCGUAGGCGGCUUGUCGCGUCGGCUGUGAAAACCUGGGGCUCAACCCCGAGCCUGCAGUCGAUACGGGCAGGCUAGAGUCCGGCAGGGGAGACUGGAAUUCCUGGUGUAGCGGUGAAAUGCGCAGAUAUCAGGAGGAACACCGGUGGCGAAGGCGGGUCUCUGGGCCGGAACUGACGCUAAGGAGCGAAAGCGUGGGGAGCGAACAGG